Molecule: long non-coding RNA, 129 nt
Organism: Ipomoea nil (Japanese morning glory)
Lineage: Eukaryota; Viridiplantae; Streptophyta; Magnoliopsida; Solanales; Convolvulaceae
Exons: 3
Source: RefSeq, a predicted model, not a curated record
AUUGUUCUAAUCCCAAAAAUUAAAACCCCUGAGUCUAUGUCUGAUUUUCGCCCUAUUUCCUUAUGUAAUGUUAUUUACCACAUUCUUGCCAAAGUUUUAGCUAAUCGUUUGAGGGGGGUUUUAGAUUUG